CGUGGAUAACCUACCCUUAGGACCGGAAUAACCCCGGGAAACUGGGGAUAAUACCGGAUAAGCCAUAGACGCUGGAAUGCCCUAUGGUACAAAGCUCCGGCGCCUAAGGAUGGAUCUGCGGUCUAUCAGGUUGUAGUGGGUGUAACGUACCUACUAGCCGACGACGGAUACGGGUUGUGAGAGCAAGAGCCCGGAGAUGGAUUCUGAGACACGAAUCCAGGCCCUACGGGGUGCAGCAGGCGCGAACACUUUACAAUGCGGGAAACCGCGAUAAGGGAACCCCGAGUGCCAGCAUCAAAUGUUGGCUGUCCGGAUGAUUAAAAAUCAUUUGUUAGCAAGGGCCGGGCAAGACCGGUGCCAGCCGCCGCGGUAACACCGGCGGCCCGAGUGGUAGCCGUUUUUAUUGGGUCUAAAGGGUCCGUAGCCGGCCUGAUAAGUCCUUUGGGAAAUCUGGCAGCUUAACUGUCAGGCUUCUAAGGGAUACUGUCAGGCUUGGGACCGGGAGAGGUAAGGGGUACUCCAGGGGUAGGAGUGAAAUCUUGUAAUCCCUGGGGGACCAUCUGUGGCGAAGGCGCCUUACCAGAACGGGUCCGACGGUGAGGGACGAAAGCUAGGGGAGCAAACCGGAUUAGAUACCCGGGUAGUCCUAGCUGUAAACGAUGCUCGCUAGGUGUCAGACACGGUGCGACCGUGUUUGGUGCCGCAGGGAAGCCGUUAAGCGAGCCACCUGGGAAGUACGGUCGCAAGGCUGAAACUUAAAGGAAUUGGCGGGGGAGCACUACAACGGGUGGAGCCUGCGGUUUAAUUGGAUUCAACGCCGGAAAACUCACCGGGUGCGACAGCAACAUGUAGGUCAGGCUGAAGGUCUUACCUGAAUCGCUGAGAGGAGGUGCAUGGCCGUCGUCAGUUCGUACUGUGAAGCAUCCUGUUAAGUCAGGCAACGAGCGAGACCCGCGCCCACAGUUGCCAGCAUGUUCUCUGGAACGAUGGGUACACUGUGGGGACCGCCGCUGCUAAAGCGGAGGAAGGAACGGGCUACGGUAGGUCAGUAUGCCCCGAAUCUCCCGGGCUACACGCGGGCUACAAUGGUUGGGACAAUGGGCACCUACCCUG
RNAcentral lists this ribosomal RNA (1113 nucleotides) under uncultured archaeon. Its description in RNAcentral is "bacterial SSU rRNA". It matches the Rfam family "Archaeal small subunit ribosomal RNA", at positions 99 to 1213 of the family's 1478-position model. The record is from RNAcentral.